This 374-nucleotide long non-coding RNA is filed under the name Pan troglodytes (chimpanzee). Its description in RNAcentral is "long non-coding RNA NONPTRT004529". The record is from RNAcentral. Lineage: Eukaryota; Metazoa; Chordata; Mammalia; Primates; Hominidae.
UGCUUGAAUGGGUUAUAUUGAUAUGCUCAAGAAAUGGGACAUCACUAUGAAAAUUUGAGAACAAUAUUGACCAUCAUGACAUAUUGGCCAUUCAUCAAUUAUUAUUAACACAUUCAGGUAACUGUGUAGUUGGGUAUUAUAUAACAUCAUUUCAGGAAUAUACCGAUUUUCUGUACCAUUGGAGAAUUCCCAGACAGCAAUUAAAUAUAAGACUAUUUUUAUUUAGUUUAUAUGUGUUCAAAGUACUGCUCAGCAAUCCCUUUGUUUCAAAGCAAAGUUCAGUUCUCUUGGUACUUUUCUUAAAGUUGGUCUUGGAUAUAUAAAUAAUGUUUACAUCCUGUAAACCAGGUUGAGAAUUAUUAUUUCUUUUCUCA